This 315-nucleotide ribosomal RNA is filed under the name Triticum aestivum (bread wheat). RNAcentral describes it as "partial small subunit ribosomal RNA". Lineage: Eukaryota; Viridiplantae; Streptophyta; Magnoliopsida; Poales; Poaceae. The record is from RNAcentral.
AUGCUGGCUGCUACUUUAUUACCAAUGAAAGCCAAAAGAAGAAGAAGAAGAAGAAGAAGAAGAAAGGAAUACUACUUGAUCAGUUCAGCAGUUGGUGUCGUUUCCACCUAUAAUCUUUGGUUCGUAUCAUUUGAAAUCACUUUGGGAAAACAGCCUUGGCAGGAAAAUAAGUGCAAUGACAGGUCUGCUGUUUUGGACAAAAGUAGAUGCUUUGCCUGGCCUGCAAGGGCCAUUGAUGCACAAGCUCCAAAUCUUAUCUCCUUGCUGCUUUCUGCAAAGCAUCAGAUGCUCUCUCUGGUACUCCACGCGACCUAA